This is a long non-coding RNA of Etheostoma spectabile (orangethroat darter), 176 nucleotides long. RefSeq lists it as uncharacterized. The transcript is spliced from 3 exons. Lineage: Eukaryota; Metazoa; Chordata; Actinopteri; Perciformes; Percidae. The record is from RefSeq and is a predicted model, not a curated record.
UUUAAUUUAUUUCAUUUCUGUCAGGUCCAUUAAGUCAAGAACAACACAGACAAUAAAAAUGCUUUAAGAAAUGUUAUUAAAUGAAUUACGAAUUUAAUUUUGCGUUAUGGCUCUGUUCAGAGGAGUCCCUUCAGCAACAGCAGCAGCAGCAUUAGGGGACACUCACACAGUUUAAG